RNAcentral lists this ribosomal RNA (2792 nucleotides) under Klebsiella pneumoniae. RNAcentral describes it as "bacterial LSU rRNA". It matches the Rfam family "Bacterial large subunit ribosomal RNA". The record is from RNAcentral. Lineage: Bacteria; Pseudomonadati; Pseudomonadota; Gammaproteobacteria; Enterobacterales; Enterobacteriaceae.
UUAAGCGACUAAGCGUACACGGUGGAUGCCCUGGCAGUCAGAGGCGAUGAAGGACGUGCUAAUCUGCGAAAAGCGUCGGUAAGGUGAUAUGAACCGUUAUAACCGGCGAUGUCCGAAUGGGGAAACCCAGUGCAAUUCGUUGCACUAUCGUUAACUGAAUACAUAGGUUAACGAGGCGAACCGGGGGAACUGAAACAUCUAAGUACCCCGAGGAAAAGAAAUCAACCGAGAUUCCCCCAGUAGCGGCGAGCGAACGGGGAGCAGCCCAGAGUCUGAAUCAGCUUGUGUGUUAGUGGAACGGUCUGGAAAGUCCGACGGUACAGGGUGAUAGUCCCGUACACCAAAAUGCACAGGCUGUGAACUCGAAGAGUAGGGCGGGACACGUGGUAUCCUGUCUGAAUAUGGGGGGACCAUCCUCCAAGGCUAAAUACUCCUGACUGACCGAUAGUGAACCAGUACCGUGAGGGAAAGGCGAAAAGAACCCCGGCGAGGGGAGUGAAAAAGAACCUGAAACCGUGUACGUACAAGCAGUGGGAGCACCUUCGGGUGUGACUGCGUACCUUUUGUAUAAUGGGUCAGCGACUUAUAUUCUGUAGCAAGGUUAACCGUAUAGGGGAGCCGCAGGGAAACCGAGUCUUAACUGGGCGUUAAGUUGCAGGGUAUAGACCCGAAACCCGGUGAUCUAGCCAUGGGCAGGUUGAAGGUUGGGUAACACUAACUGGAGGACCGAACCGACUAAUGUUGAAAAAUUAGCGGAUGACUUGUGGCUGGGGGUGAAAGGCCAAUCAAACCGGGAGAUAGCUGGUUCUCCCCGAAAGCUAUUUAGGUAGCGCCUCGUGAACUCAUCUUCGGGGGUAGAGCACUGUUUCGGCUAGGGGGUCAUCCCGACUUACCAACCCGAUGCAAACUACGAAUACCGAAGAAUGUUAUCACGGGAGACACACGGCGGGUGCUAACGUCCGUCGUGAAGAGGGAAACAACCCAGACCGCCAGCUAAGGUCCCAAAGUCAUGGUUAAGUGGGAAACGAUGUGGGAAGGCACAGACAGCCAGGAUGUUGGCUUAGAAGCAGCCAUCAUUUAAAGAAAGCGUAAUAGCUCACUGGUCGAGUCGGCCUGCGCGGAAGAUGUAACGGGGCUAAACCAUGCACCGAAGCUGCGGCAGCGACACUAUGUGUUGUUGGGUAGGGGAGCGUUCUGUAAGCCUGCGAAGGUGACCUGUGAGGGUUGCUGGAGGUAUCAGAAGUGCGAAUGCUGACAUAAGUAACGAUAAAGCGGGUGAAAAGCCCGCUCGCCGGAAGACCAAGGGUUCCUGUCCAACGUUAAUCGGGGCAGGGUGAGUCGACCCCUAAGGCGAGGCCGAAAGGCGUAGUCGAUGGGAAACAGGUUAAUAUUCCUGUACUUGGUGUUACUGCGAAGGGGGGACGGAGAAGGCUAUGUUAGCCGGGCGACGGUUGUCCCGGUUUAAGCAUGUAGGCUGAUUGUCCAGGCAAAUCCGGAUAAUCAAGGCUGAGGUGUGAUGACGAGGCACUACGGUGCUGAAGUAACAAAUGCCCUGCUUCCAGGAAAAGCCUCUAAGCAUCAGGUAACAUUAAAUCGUACCCCAAACCGACACAGGUGGUCAGGUAGAGAAUACCAAGGCGCUUGAGAGAACUCGGGUGAAGGAACUAGGCAAAAUGGUGCCGUAACUUCGGGAGAAGGCACGCUGGUGUGUAGGUGAAGUCCCUGCGGAUGGAGCUGAGACCAGUCGAAGAUACCAGCUGGCUGCAACUGUUUAUUAAAAACACAGCACUGUGCAAACACGAAAGUGGACGUAUACGGUGUGACGCCUGCCCGGUGCCGGAAGGUUAAUUGAUGGGGUUAUCCGUAAGGAGAAGCUCUUGAUCGAAGCCCCGGUAAACGGCGGCCGUAACUAUAACGGUCCUAAGGUAGCGAAAUUCCUUGUCGGGUAAGUUCCGACCUGCACGAAUGGCGUAAUGAUGGCCAGGCUGUCUCCACCCGAGACUCAGUGAAAUUGAACUCGCUGUGAAGAUGCAGUGUACCCGCGGCAAGACGGAAAGACCCCGUGAACCUUUACUAUAGCUUGACACUGAACAUUGAGCCUUGAUGUGUAGGAUAGGUGGGAGGCUUUGAAGCGUGGACGCCAGUCUGCGUGGAGCCAACCUUGAAAUACCACCCUUUAAUGUUUGAUGUUCUAACGUUGGCCCCUGACCGGGGUUGCGGACAGUGUCUGGUGGGUAGUUUGACUGGGGCGGUCUCCUCCCAAAGCGUAACGGAGGAGCACGAAGGUUAGCUAAUCCUGGUCGGACAUCAGGAGGUUAGUGCAAUGGCAUAAGCUAGCUUGACUGCGAGCGUGACGGCGCGAGCAGGUGCGAAAGCAGGUCAUAGUGAUCCGGUGGUUCUGAAUGGAAGGGCCAUCGCUCAACGGAUAAAAGGUACUCCGGGGAUAACAGGCUGAUACCGCCCAAGAGUUCAUAUCGACGGCGGUGUUUGGCACCUCGAUGUCGGCUCAUCACAUCCUGGGGCUGAAGUAGGUCCCAAGGGUAUGGCUGUUCGCCAUUUAAAGUGGUACGCGAGCUGGGUUUAGAACGUCGUGAGACAGUUCGGUCCCUAUCUGCCGUGGGCGCUGGAGAAUUGAGGGGGGCUGCUCCUAGUACGAGAGGACCGGAGUGGACGCAUCACUGGUGUUCGGGUUGUCAUGCCAAUGGCACUGCCCGGUAGCUAAAUGCGGAAGAGAUAAGUGCUGAAAGCAUCUAAGCACGAAACUUGCCCCGAGAUGAGUUCUCCCUGAGACU